RNAcentral lists this ribosomal RNA (163 nucleotides) under Hetaeria youngsayei. Its description in RNAcentral is "5.8S ribosomal RNA". It matches the Rfam family "5.8S ribosomal RNA". Rfam says of the family: 5.8S ribosomal RNA (5.8S rRNA) is a component of the large subunit of the eukaryotic ribosome. It is transcribed by RNA polymerase I as part of the 45S precursor that also contains 18S and 28S rRNA. The record is from RNAcentral. Lineage: Eukaryota; Viridiplantae; Streptophyta; Magnoliopsida; Asparagales; Orchidaceae.
UAUGACUCUCGGCAAUGGAUAUCUUGGCUCUUGCAUCGAUGAAGAGCGCAGCGAAAUGCGAUACGUGGUGUGAAUUGCAGAAUCCCGUGAACCAUCAAAUCUUUGAACGCAAGUUGCGCCCGAGGCCAAUUGGCUAAGGGCACGUCCGCCUGGGCGUCAAGCA